UAAUUUAACCCUAGCUUGAGUGGCUCUUUGUUCUUCUUCGUCUGUUUGUUCUUCUUCUUUGAAUUUGGUUUACACAAAUCACUUUGGUUUUUGAUUUCUCACAUAUAUAGUAUCAGAGCCAUUGAAUCACAUUCGUCGCUGAUUUGUAUCAUCAACAUCUUCUUCUUCUCCCGCCAUUGUUGACGCCCUUCACUGUCUGACGUCGCCGCUCCUUAGAGCCGCCGUCGACCGUCACCGCCGUUGUUGCUGCCGUUUACGGCCGGCUUCGCCGCCACCAUCAAACGCCGGGCCGCUUGUGUGCUUUCUCUGUUCGGUUCUCUACUCCCUCUCGAUUUGAACUCAUCUUUGGGACUCUCAGACCUCAGAUACGAUUCUGCCUCUCCUGCCUCGUCUUCUUCUGCUUCGAAUCACCUUCGUCGAUUGCCCUCCCGUCCGACCGCCACUGCCGCAAGCGCCACCAUCUUCAACCGCCGUUCAUCUUCCUCCUACGGCAGAUCGUCCGACCGCCUCUUUCCCCCUCGCCGGCCACUUUGGUCUCUUGCUCGACCGUCGCCGUUCGCCCCUUCGCCGUCUUCUUCUUCGCCUUGCCGGCUGUUGUUGCAAGCUUCCUUCCUCCUCCGUUGCUUCUGCCAUCAACAGCCAUUGAAGAAGUUUAAGAAGCUUCGAAGUUUCAAACCCAGAUCUGGCCGAUCCGACCCGUCAAAUCUGCCAAACAGAUCUAGUUUAUUUUUUGUCCAGAUUUGAUCCAAAUUCAGUACCGUCUGAGUCGCUCUCAAUUGGAAUUUUGUUUAUUGGUCUUUUGGCAUUAUUUUAUCUUCGUAUUGAAAUUAUUUGGAUUCAAUGCGCUGUGUGAAUUAGUUUACUUGUGGUUUGAGGCAAAGUAUUGGUUGUUUGUGUGUUAUUGACAACUGAAAGAGAUAAUUCAAUUCAAUCCAUUACUGUAAGGUUAAAUGGAAAAAAUUAUUGGAUAAUACUAUUCGGCCCGAAAUGGUGCCCGAAAAAGUGCCACCCAAGAUGGAAUUACCAUUUUACCCAUAGUUCAAUUUAUAGAAAUGACCCCAUUUCAACCUUCCUUAUCCGGCUAAAUCUCUCACUCUCUUCUCAUUCUCUUCUUUCUCUCUCUCACAGCCUCAUUUCUCUCUCUCUCUCAUAUUCUCUGCCUGACUCAUGCUCCCCUUAGAAGAGGCUUGUUCCUCUCUUUCUCUUGUUAAGGCCAUCUCUCUAUUUCUCAUGUGCGUCCGACCGAGCCCACCGAUCUCCUUUGGGCUCGUUCCAGCCAUCUCUCACUCUCCAGCCCCUGCUACAGUGUCUCCAGCAUCCCUUGGCUCGAUUCUUGUUCGAUCUACAAUGAGAUAUGUCUCUAGUUUUACAAAAAAUGAUUUUCAACAAAGGCUCUGAUCGUGGGAAGUUUCGGCCGGCAGUAAUCGUCGGAGGCGUUGGUAGUGGCGGUUACAUAUAUACAGGUACAACGAAGCUUGCACGUGCCCCCACGCCUCGCCAGAAGAAUCCCCACGCGCCCGCAUGCGUUGAUUGUCUUCCUUGGUCGCGUCUAACAAGAUGACGGCCAGCCCUAUGUUUUUUGCAUUUUUUUUACUCAUUUUAACUCCAUUUUGCUCCUUGUUUGAACCUACAACUCCCUCUUUCUCUUCUCUACAGGAUUAUAACUUAAAAUUUAACUUACUGUGCUGUUUCAGGUGACCCACGCUCAGUUUUCUACGCGUGUUCUUGCAACUUCGGUAACCCGUUUUCUUCCUUAUUUUCUGGUGAAAACACUUAUUCUUUCUUUCAGAAUGUCCCUCACACUUCUAAGAACAUGGUUAUCCCCUCAAAACAGCAUGGGUUUGCCUUAAUCCCUUACGUUUCCUUCAUCCUUAUCCCAAAGUCCAAAUUUAUAGAAGAAAUGGGCCAAUCUCCUUCCACCACACUUUCCGCCUCAUGCCUAGGCUUGAGGGUUCAUGAUGGCCAUUUCCAGCCGACAGUUGGUCCGUUUGGUUACUCCGGCGAGUUUUGUUGAAGGUUUUCAAUAAUUACGCUUUGGCCUAAAGUUUGAUAUUUUUAUGCUUUAACCCCUGAAAUUUUUGAUAUUUUAACCAUCUGUGUAGCUUCUUAUUUUAACCCCUGAUUUCCUAAAAGAUGUUCAUUUCAUCAUUUAGCGUCUCCUAAAAUGUUUUUCUAAUAUUUUGAGAAAUUACAUUUUUACCUGAUUUUUCUUAGAAUAGGGGUUUUAGUCUCGGACUCUUGCGAGUUCUUUGGACAUUUCUUAUUUAUUAAAUUACCGGAGCUUACAAAUGUCUUGGGUAUUACAUUAUCUCUGUUGGUCAGUUAUGUGAUUCUGGUUACUUGGUUCAAUUUUCUUCUACUGCUUACUGUGUACAGGAUCCUCGAUCUCAGAAGCUGAUUGGGAUAAGUCUUAGAUAAUGAGGGCUAUAUGUUUUGGACAAUCUGAGACCACCGCAUGUUGCAGCCUUUGGUGUUGAUUUGUCAUCUUUCUCUUUGAAUUCCUCUUCUUCUAGUGUUUAUUUGUGACAUUCUCGCCUUGGACAUGUUUUCGCUAAUUGGUUAAAAUUUUUAGUUUCUAAGGGUUAUCUGGGCGAUUUGCAAACUCAUGACAUUUCUAAUUAUAGUG
This is a long non-coding RNA of Diospyros lotus (date-plum), 2626 nucleotides long. RefSeq lists it as uncharacterized. The transcript has 3 exons. The record is from RefSeq and is a predicted model, not a curated record. Lineage: Eukaryota; Viridiplantae; Streptophyta; Magnoliopsida; Ericales; Ebenaceae.